AUUGAACGCUGGCGGCAGGCCUAACACAUGCAAGUCGAGGGAGAGGUUAUCUUCUGGUACCCAACCUAGGCGCGGGGUGCGUAACGCGUAUACAAACUGCCUUUCACAUAGGGAUACCCCGAAGAAAUUUGAAUUAAUGCCUAAUGGUAUAUCAAAGCGGCAUCGUUUUUAAUUUACAGAUCCUGUGGUGAAAGAUGAGUCUGCGUUCUAUUAGCUAGUUGGAGAGGUAACGGCUCCCCAAGGCGACGAUCUGUAGGGGUUCUGAGAGGGAUGUCCCCCACACUGGGACUGAGAUACGGACCAGACUCCUACGGGAGGCAGCAGUGAGGAAUAUUGGACAAUGGUCGGAAGACUGAUCCAGCCAUGCCGCGUGUGUGAUGAAGUUUAUGGAUUGAAAACUGCUUUUGUAAGGGAAGAAUAAGGAGUACGUGUCCUUUGAUGACGGGACCUUACGAAUAGAAUCGGCUAACUCCAUGCCAGUGCCCGCGGUAAUACAGAGGAUGCGAGGGUAAUCUUGAAUCAUUGUGUUUAAAGGGUCCGUAGGCGUAGGUGAUAAUUUUAGAGGUGAAAGCGCUUAGCUCAACUAAACAACUGCCUUUGAAACUGUACUUCUUGAAUGAUUGUAUAAGUAGUUGAAAUGUGUAGUGUAGCGGUGAAAUGCUUAGCUUUUACAAGAACACCGAUCCCCAAGGCUAAUAACGAAAAAUUUACUGACACUCACGCUCAAAACGUGGGGAGGGGACACG
This 746-nucleotide ribosomal RNA is filed under the name uncultured Enterobacteriaceae bacterium. Its description in RNAcentral is "bacterial SSU rRNA". It matches the Rfam family "Bacterial small subunit ribosomal RNA", at positions 28 to 776 of the family's 1533-position model. The record is from RNAcentral. Lineage: Bacteria; Pseudomonadati; Pseudomonadota; Gammaproteobacteria; Enterobacterales; Enterobacteriaceae.